Molecule: non-coding RNA, 71 nt
Organism: Podospora didyma
Lineage: Eukaryota; Fungi; Ascomycota; Sordariomycetes; Sordariales; Podosporaceae
Source: the annotation of a GenBank genome assembly
AUGUACAUAGUUUAACGGUAGAACUGCCCAUUUCUGAUGAGUCUGCGCGGGUUCGAAUCCUGCUGCUCGUA